UAGUUUCUAACAUCUGCUGAGUCCAACAAAAUUCUUGGUUAAGAAAUAACAUUCCAGAAUGGACCCAGCCUGCGUUCUCACUUGUGGAUACCCAGCAGACACAUGCAGACAGCUUGGUGAGUGACAAGCACUGAGUGGAGCACCUUCUUCUACACAAGUGGGACUAUACCAAGGAAUUCCAAUGGCAAGGAGUGGCAGGAACAAGUCACAUAACUGUCAGCAUGCCUGGGCAACACACAGCUACGCAGUCUCAUUUGAGGACCCAUCAAUGUGGCUAUGAGCCUGCCGGGUGCCAGGUUACCCUAUGGAUGCUGAGGUUGUGGCAGUCACAACUCUAUAAGGUUGUUGUCUACCAUGGUGGAGAAGCCAAGGAAGCAGAAGCUUGAAGCAGCUCAUCACAUGACAUCCACAGUCAGGAAUACAGAAGUGAUGAACAUAUGAUGCUGCUCAGCUCCCUUAUCUCCACUUUAUACAGUCCAGGAUCCCAGCCAGAGAAUGACACUACCCACAGUGGAGAACUCUGUCUUCUCCAAUGCAAUCAAGCAAAUGUAGAGUUCCAUGGAAACCUCUUCAAUCAACCCUUGGAUGAUGGAGCAUCUAAGGACGUGUACCCAGAGUCCUCUCUUCUCCUGAGCACAGACAUGUAAUCCAGUACACAAAUGGGCUUUCAUAUUCCACAGGACUGAUUCCCUUUUACAUACUGAACAUAAUGAUUUGCUUUUUUAUUUUACAUAAUUUUUUAUGUUUUUUUGAAAAAGAACAUUAAAUUGCAAAAAAGAUUAUAAACUGCUUAUGUAAGGGGAAAAAAACCUUAAAAGCAAGCUGGAAUUUCAUCUGUAAGGCUUAAGUACCUCUCUCAGUUUAUGAUGCAAUGGCAGUCUUAAAAGUUUUAUGAAUAAGUAGCACACUGAAUCACAACAUGAACCUGACAUCCUGUCUGCAUAACAUCUUCUAGGUUAAGCCUUAGUAAUUACCAUUUUAUAUUCCAUGCUUAGGUGCCCAAGUAAAACAACCACACUGAAUGACAUAUACAAGUGCAGCAAAUCUUUGUAAAUUUGUAGUUUUGGGAACCAGAUAAAAAGAAAGAGUAAGCCAGAAUAAGGAAAAUUUUAAAUGCAGCCAGAGAUUGCCUGGAAUCUAAUUAGGGAUGCCUUCCAGCUGUUGUUACUACCUGGAACCUCUUCUUCUGGGUCCAUCCUCUAAAACAUACUGUGGGGAAAGAAGCAAAAAUAGAGAGGUGAGAGAGAGGGAGGAGGAGAAGUAGAGGGAGAGACAAGUUGAACAAGGUAGAAAAGGCUAAUUAUCAGAUAUUGAUUUAUGAUUUAUUUAGUGAUUUACUUAAAGCACUGCUUGUACUGCCUGUUUGCCAAGCAUGACUUCACUUUUUACUUCAAUCAGAAUGACCCAGGGAAAUAACUGAAAUGAUGGGUUAUUGUCCUUAACAAUCUGCUGACUGCCUGGUAGGCUUCUGUAAAACCUUUCCCAACCCACCUUGUGUUUUAGAGUAUGUAAGUAGAACAUAAACUGGACCCUGCAUUUAAGCCUUUCAGGAGCUGUCGUGGCUUUUUCUCUCCCAAUGACAUUUCCUCCCUUCCACUCUCAGUGGUGUGAGGGUGCUUGUGCAGAAAAAUGCUCAAGUAGGACCACCCACUGUACUGAGUGCUUCUGUGUUUAAAGCAUUACUUUAUAAAAAAAAUCUAGUCGAGUAGGCAAGAGAGAUAUAGAAACAAAUCUCAGUGUUCAAAAACUUAUGUGCAUUCUAGCAACACAAGGUGUCAUCAACAGUAUCUUCAAUAUACUAGUGACGGUAUAUGACUUCAUGUUUAUCUGUAUGUAGAAGAUUAAUAUAUUUAUUUGCAAUAUGUUCCCUUAAACAGACAAGAUGAUGAUUAAAAAACAAGUUCUCACAUUCCAUGCCUUGAUGCAGACUAGACCCUACGUCAUGGAUCUGUUGCUUUUCUCUGUGUCUAUGAACUUGCCUAUUUCAAUCUUAGGUGUCAUUUUUAUGUACAACUGUGCACAUAGCCAAGUUAAGGCACAGAGGAUGGGAAAGGAUGAUGACAGUGGCUUGCAUUUUCAAGGUUAAGUAAAAUUUCCAACAGUUUCAUUAUUGUGGUUCAGAUGAACUCCUCCUGUUCACUUAAUCAUUGGAUUUCCACUAGCUUGUCUUUCCAUCUUGAAAACAUCUUCCUUUUGAGCCUCUGACCUCUCUAAUUACCAUAGUAUUCUCUUUUUCCUUUGCUUUAGGCUAAAACCCUCACCUAACUUACAAUGCUCUCCUUUUCUACUCCAUCAGCAGUUUUAAACAACUUUCAAGAAUCAAAGUAUUUGUUUAAGGAGUGUGUGGUGGUGGUGGUGAUGGAGGGUGGUGGUACUGGGUGGUUAAAUGAUCUUUUGUUUUGCCAAUUUAAAACACAGUAAAAAUUUAAUUAUGAUUGGAGCUCUGAGGAGAACAUUUCUUUUUCAGGCAAACAUUGUGAAAUUAAGUGAUAUGUCACCAGUUGCUGUGGGGUUUGUGCUAGUUGGCUCACAUGGAACAUAACCACAUCAUCCAAUGGUAGACUGUGGGGAAAUAAUUUCUGUUCACACUCGGUUCAGUGUUCUCUCCCAUUAACAGCCCAGCCUCUAACUACGCAUGCCAUUUCCUUUCAAAAACCGUCUAUUGAAUGUUUCAAAUGUGCAGACUCUUAAGUUGGUGACUCAAAUCCCCAGUACUGAAUCAUCUAGCCAAAUAUGAGUCAGAGCAAUAGAUCCUUUGCAGACAUGUAGCUAACUGAACUUAAGGGAAAUAUGUAAACUUGUGAACAACUUCUUAGUUAUUAUGAGAUAUGGGAGUAAGAGAGAAAAAGCACAAGGCUGGUUUCCUGUCUUAUCUUUCCUGAACUUAAACAUCUAUUCGGAUGACCUCAGUCCUACCAUCAUUUUCCUUAAAAGGAUCACAGUGACCAUGUGUGGCAUUUAAACAAAGAUUUUACAGACAGCUGCUGUAUCUUACUUUAUGCUAAUUUGCUGUGGAUUUUUUUAAAGGCUAUUUGGCAAUGCCAGCCAACAUGAGAUUAACCAUCUCAUCAGAAUGUGUUUAUUUGGCAGUGUAUUAUCAAAGGAAUUCUUUUCCUGAAAUGAAAUGAACAUAUAAAGCCAAAGGGCAUAGUUUAAAGUUAUUCCCCUCCUCAUAUUAUGGUUCAUGUCUAUUUGGGUUAAUGUUAUUAUGAUCCACCAACCACCAAGCAGAACUUUUUCUCAAAGUUUUAGUUGCUUUUUUUUUUAUUGCAAAGUUCUGAUGACCACUCAUCCAGUAGCAUUCCUUCCAUCACUAAUUGUUUCUGAUUCCUUCCCAUUCUUAACUAUGUUGGUGGAUUUUUUUCAGUGUUUUAGUUUGCAUUCAGCAGCUCUCUUUUCGUUGCCAGCAGUGCAGUUUUACAGGACUGAUAAGGAGCUAGGAAACAGUGAUGAGGCAAGAGGGAGAUGUUAAAAAUGAAUGAGGUGCUGGUACAACAAGUCAUAAAUAGGCAUGUCACAGAACAGACAUCAAGGAGGUCACAUGUCACAUGGUCGUUCUCUGUAUCUGUUUCUCCCAUACUGAUCUAGAGUUUGUUACCUUGUGCUCUUCUCUAAGUGGCUAUUGAUAUGGUAUUGGAUAACAAUUUGAAGAACUGGGUAUUUUGACGUCUGAGAAACUAUACAUCCCAGAAGUAGCUGUCUUGUUAUUGUUUUUUACAUACUCCUUGUGUCUGAGACUGGAGGCUAAGUGGUUCGUGCCUACAUCCAUUGAAGCAUUACAAUCAUAAGAUUAUGUGGUGGUUUGAAAGAAAAUGGCCUCCAAAGGGAAUGGCACUAUUAGGAGGUGUGGCUUUGUUGGAGUGGGUGUGGCCUUCUUGAAGGAAGGGUAUCACUGUGGAGGUGGGCUUUGAGGUCUCACAUAUGCUCAAGCCACGCCCACUAUCUCAGUUUACUUCUUGUUGCCUGCAAGAUGUAGAACUCUCAGCUCCUUCUCCCGUGCUGCCAUGUCCUGCCGUGAUGAUGAAUGACUAAACCUCUAAACAGUAAGCCACUAAAUUAAAUGUUUUCCUUUAUGAGAGUUUCUGUGGCCAUGGUGUCUCAUCAUAGCAAUAGAAAUCCUAAGACAGAUUAUCACCUCCACCCAUUGCUUUUCUACUCUCUAACUACCUGGGGGUAUAAGCAGAUGGCAAGCUCUGAUUCUGCCACCCUCCUCCUCCCCCACUGCAGGAUUUUUCCUCCAAAUAAAAGCCUGUGCUGUCUUAAGAAAAAUAAAAAUAGAAAAGUUUGCCUUAUCAUAUGAAAAAUUUGGUGAGAAUUCCUGGAAUGCAAAUUAUACAUGGCUCUUAAAAGCUUAGGACUAGGAGCAGAGCAGAGUAUCAACAUUCAAAAAAACCAACAGACAAGGCUGUGUUCAUACAUGCAUUUAACAUCUAAUUUUUGCCAGAUAGGACUGAGGAGUGUGCAUGAGUGAUGGCUAGUCACAGAUAAUCAGCAGACUUCUUUCUUUGGAAGAGUUUGCUAUUUCUCACCAAAGAAACUUUUGCCGCCUAGCUACCUAGAAGGGAAAAUUGACCAUUUCCUCUUCUUCAGCUCCCUUCCCAGCAUGUGGAUCCAAGCUCCCCUCUAGGAGUUUGUGUAGAUUUUAGAUGAGGCUUUGUGUUGCUGUUACCGGAACAAACACUAAUGAUUCAUGUUUUUGUGCAUGUGAUAAUUUUGUACUUGUUCUUAAGUGUAUCUUCUCAUGAAUGAAACAAAUUGAAAAUGGUUUAACUAUAAAAUGCUAUACCUAACACAAAUAUGGAAAAAUAUUGUCAUUGAACUACCUCAUCUUUAAUAGUUAAUAGUUUAACAUGUAAUUCUGGCAUAUACAUUAAAAUGAAAGUCAUACUUUGUACAAAACAACAACAACAAUAACAUGUACCAAAAACAUUAAUAAAAUACAUGGUAUCUUU
This is a long non-coding RNA of Peromyscus californicus insignis, 4952 nucleotides long. RefSeq lists it as uncharacterized. Lineage: Eukaryota; Metazoa; Chordata; Mammalia; Rodentia; Cricetidae. The transcript is spliced from 5 exons. The record is from RefSeq and is a predicted model, not a curated record.